RNAcentral lists this ribosomal RNA (759 nucleotides) under Bacillus pumilus. RNAcentral describes it as "bacterial SSU rRNA". It matches the Rfam family "Bacterial small subunit ribosomal RNA", at positions 574 to 1332 of the family's 1533-position model. The record is from RNAcentral. Lineage: Bacteria; Bacillati; Bacillota; Bacilli; Caryophanales; Bacillaceae.
GGCGGUUUUUUAAGUCUGAAUGUGAAAGCCCCCGGCUCAACCGGGGAGGGUCAUUGGAAACUGGGAAACUUGAGUGCAGAAGAGGAGAGUGGAAUUCCACGUGUAGCGGUGAAAUGCGUAGAGAUGUGGAGGAACACCAGUGGCGAAGGCGACUCUCUGGUCUGUAACUGACGCUGAGGAGCGAAAGCGUGGGGAGCGAACAGGAUUAGAUACCCUGGUAGUCCACGCCGUAAACGAUGAGUGCUAAGUGUUAGGGGGUUUCCGCCCCUUAGUGCUGCAGCUAACGCAUUAAGCACUCCGCCUGGGGAGUACGGUCGCAAGACUGAAACUCAAAGGAAUUGACGGGGGCCCGCACAAGCGGUGGAGCAUGUGGUUUAAUUCGAAGCAACGCGAAGAACCUUACCAGGUCUUGACAUCCUCUGACAACCCUAGAGAUAGGGCUUUCCCUUCGGGGACAGAGUGACAGGUGGUGCAUGGUUGUCGUCAGCUCGUGUCGUGAGAUGUUGGGUUAAGUCCCGCAACGAGCGCAACCCUUGAUCUUAGUUGCCAGCAUUCAGUUGGGCACUCUAAGGUGACUGCCGGUGACAAACCGGAGGAAGGUGGGGAUGACGUCAAAUCAUCAUGCCCCUUAUGACCUGGGCUACACACGUGCUACAAUGGACAGAACAAAGGGCUGCAAGACCGCAAGGUUUAGCCAAUCCCAUAAAUCUGUUCUCAAUUCGGAUCGCAGUCUGCAACUCGACUGCGUGAAGCUGGAAU